Molecule: long non-coding RNA, 1840 nt
Organism: Aethalodelphis obliquidens (Pacific white-sided dolphin)
Lineage: Eukaryota; Metazoa; Chordata; Mammalia; Artiodactyla; Delphinidae
Exons: 4
Source: RefSeq, a predicted model, not a curated record
CCUGUCCUGUCUUUUCAGUUCAGCUACUCCUGGAAUGGUCCAAAGAAGAAAGAAGCCAAGGCAUCCACCAUUUGGUGUCAUACCUGGACAGCCCAGCCUCUCUCAUUACAUGACGUUUCCAUACACAGGAGAGAAGAUGGAUUUUACAAGCAGCUGUCCUGUUGGUCUAUUUCAUUUCCCCCCAUUUCUGGUUUGAUUGCCCUUCCUCCCAUUGACCAGUGAUGAACUCCUACUCACCCAUCAAGACCCAGAUUUUACAGAGUUCACUUAGCUGCUGUGCAGAAGAGGGGAUGAAGGAUGACAAGAGUGGAAUUAGGAGACGUUAAACUCUACUGCAAGGACCCAUGUAAGUGGCAGUUGACCAGGGUUAAAGCAGUGAGCUGGAGAGAAGGUAAGAGAUCAUGGCUUUGUUUUGGACUUGCCUAUGAAAUGUAUGUGUGUGUGCGUGUGUGUGAAAAAUAAAGAAAUCAAAGGUAUUGUGGUCACCUCAAGACUUGGCAUGUAAGUAGGUAGCCCUAAAAAGUGUUUGAUGCAUUGAAAGCAUAUGUUUCUCUUUAUUUAAAAUUAUCAUCUCUCUAAGUAAUGAUUUAAUAGCUACACAGCCUAUACGUCAUGUGAGCUUAAUGAAAGUGUUCUAAGAGACUUUUCAACAAAAUUGCAUUUAGAAGUAAAUAUUUACUUGAGUACAACUCAUUUGUGAAAUUAAGUCUGCUUUAUGAGGCAUACUCAAUUAUUUUUGUAACUAGUGAGCAGCAUAAUAUCUGUGGAAUUACACAACGUGAAGCCUCCUAUCUUAUAAACACAGACUUUUUUAAAAAAAAGUGCAGUCAGAGACAAAACAAGUUUCUUAGCACCUCAGAAACAUCUAGCAAGUAUGUGUGCAGUGCCUGACUGGGUACAAUUAGAAAUCUAGGAAAAGUGGGAAGCCAUGACUUCCUCUGUGCUUUUUCCCAGUUAUGAAGCAAAUUCCAGGAUCCUGGAAUAAAAUUCAAUUGUGCAUCUAGUCUCUUAUGUCUAUGUGCAGCACUUUCCAGACUUACUGGGGACAUCAAGAGAAAUGGUCUCUACCCUAGAGGAGUUCCUCUAGGGUAGUGGAGAGAAAGGGGGAGAGAGAGAGAACGGGGGGCAAGCUACUGAUAAUUGGGGGUGAUAAGUGCAAAGGAUAGAUGCAAACUCAGGGUGCUGCUAUCGGAGCCCACAAGGGCAGCCAACACAUGGAGGAGUGGGUGAGGGAUAGAGUCAAGGGUCCAAGGGUUGGCCUCCUUGGGGCUGGGAGGUGUGAUUAGAAUCUUGAAGGCUGAGCAGGAGCUAUGCAGAUGGAGGGAGAGGGGAAAGACAGAGAGAGAAACCUGGGCAAGUGUUGGGAGGCGGGAAAGCCCAGUGGAGGAAUUGUGAUGGAGGUGAGGAGGGUCAUAGCAUCUUGUGAGGUGGGAGCCCACUGAGUCACAGAGGGUCUUGCCUGCCAUGCUAAGGACCUCGUUCUGAAGAUCAUAGGGAGCCCCUGAAAGCGAGUAAGCAGCAAGAGGAAUGAGCAGAUGGGCCUUGCACAAGAAUUUAUCUGUUAACAAUGUGGCAUGGAUUGAAGUCCAGGAAGAAAAGGUAGGCGUUUGCUUGACCUCCAGACAUGAAAACUGAGGCUCUGGGGUUGGGAGGGAGAAUCAGGAAGUAGGAUAAACAGUGGGAAUGUGAAAGGAGGAUGACGAAAGAGGAGACAAGGCUUAGAUUUAGGCUAAACCCAGAUUACUUCAUAUUUUAACGACAACAAAAACAAAGCAGCAAGCAUGUCACCAGUGUGCAGGCUCUCAACCUUAAAUGACUAUUGAGUUGGCCAAAAGGUUCG